Molecule: ribosomal RNA, 488 nt
Filed under: uncultured bacterium
Lineage: Bacteria
Description: bacterial SSU rRNA
Rfam family: Bacterial small subunit ribosomal RNA
Source: RNAcentral
GAUGAACGCUAGCGAUAGGCCUAACACAUGCAAGUCGAGGGGCAUCACAUGAAGUAGCAAUACGGAUGGUGGCGACCGGCGCACGGGUGAGUAACACGUAUGCAACCUGCCUUCAACAAGGGGAUAACCCGUUGAAAGACGGACUAAUACCCUAUAACACAGGGGUCCCGCAUGGGAAUAUUUGUUAAAGGACAACCGGUUGAAGAUGGGCAUGCGUUCCAUUAGCUAGUUGGCGGGGUAACGGCCCACCAAGGCAACGAUGGAUAGGGGAACUGAGAGGUUUAUCCCCCACACUGGUACUGAGACACGGACCAGACUCCUACGGGAGCAGCAGUGAGGAAUAUUGGUCAAUGGACGCAAGUUGAACCAGCCACGUCGCGUGAAGGAAGACGGCCCUACGGGUUGUAAACUUCUUUUGCAAGGGAAUAAAGUGGGCCACGUGUGGCCUUUUGCAAGUACCUUGCGAAUAAGGAUCGGCUAACUCCGUG